Molecule: long non-coding RNA, 511 nt
Filed under: Heterocephalus glaber (naked mole-rat)
Lineage: Eukaryota; Metazoa; Chordata; Mammalia; Rodentia; Bathyergidae
Description: lncRNA (ENSHGLG00100043238.1)
Source: RNAcentral
CCUCAAACCCAGUCAGCAGGUGUGGAGACGUCUCUGUCAGAGCUCAUCGGCCUGGCGACGGAGGAUUGACGGUGCCCAGGGUCAUCUACAGCCCCCACGGCCAUCACUCUCAAUGAGCCCAGGGUAACUGUCAGCGUCUCAGGUAAUACGGAUGCACAUCCUCUUACAGCAGCAGUUUCGGGCCUUCCUUGAGUGUGCUCUGGAAAACGUCGCUUGGUGCUCCCCACAGGACGACAUCCCUGAGACAAUCUUCCAGUUGGAGCUUCUUCCUCUACACACACGUCCUCCCAGAGCAAGACACCUGCAUUUAGAAUUUCAUCUCUCCAGGGAUCCCACGCUGAGAAUCCAGCCAGAAAGAAGAGUUUUCACAGACAUUUGAUAAUAAACUGUAGACUCCAACUCAUCUUGAUAUAUAAACUAUCGCCUGUCAAUGCCAAGGAAAGAAUAUCAAGGAAGAAAUUCAGCUCUAUUGAAACACCAUCACCAUCCAUUAACUCUACAAGAAAGGCAG